This 1951-nucleotide unclassified non-coding RNA is filed under the name Hevea brasiliensis (rubber tree). The record is from RNAcentral. Lineage: Eukaryota; Viridiplantae; Streptophyta; Magnoliopsida; Malpighiales; Euphorbiaceae.
GGCACAUAUUGGGCGAUCACCCACAAAGGUUGAACUUGAUCUUUGCAAGGUUGAUUCCUUCAAAAAGAUUCUAAAAUCUUCACCUCUGCCGCUAAUCCAAUUAAGAUCAUAUCAACUUUCUAAUAAGGGCAGAUACAAUUACUAGUGGAUCUGAACCAAUACCAAUACUAGUGGAUCUGAACCAAUACCAAUACCAUCACCAUCUCAAUAUUGCGUAUGUUUUCAGCUUUAUCACAGAUUCACAAUCAAAUUCAUUUCAAUCUGAUUCUCCACAGAAAGAUACCAAGAGAACCACUAAACUUUCAUGUUUUCUGAAAAACUAACAGCAGACUCCAUUUUUGAAAUUUCACCGGUAGUACAAAAUUCUUAUCUCAUCAAAGAUUUGCACGGAAAAGAUGGCGAUCUGAUGUUUCAGAGUCCUGCCUCCUAGAUGUACCAUAUGCUUAGCAAAAGGAAAUAACAGCAGUCAAGUUCUACCAGUCAUCUAAAUUUUGAAUCUAGAACAAUAAUUCAGCCACAUCCAGAAAACAUAAACAUGCAUUUCUGUAAUUGUUUUUAAUGGUCAAGCAUCCAACUGGAAAAAUUACAUUUAAUGAUGUCAAAGAAACAACCUUGGAUACACUUUUAUCAUAUCCGGAUUCAAAGUUCAAUUUGCUAGCAACCUAAAGCGUGUAACCCAAUAUUGGCUAUAUUUUACCCUGCUAGAAGUCAAACUUUAUUGCACACUUAAAGUGGAAUUAGUCCAUUUAGUGCUUUAGGAAUUAAAACCACUAUUUUAGCAUGUUAUCAAUACGAAAAAUCAUUUAAAUCAGCUUGAGCUAUCCAGCAAAAUGACAUCAUUUAAGCAAGUCAGUAAUCACAUUCUGUCCACGUUAAUAAGUGAUAUAAUGAAGCAGUAUCAACACAGGCUAUUUGAAGAUCCCAAAUGAGCAGUAUUAAGACAUCACACCCAUUGAGACACGUGCAUCUUUGUAGAUGUGCGAGACACAUGAUCGGUGAUGCAUCAUGUUUAGUCAACCUACCACCCACUAUGCAACCAAAUCCUACAAUUAUGUAUACCUUUGGAAUUGGAACACUUAAGGACAGGGCCUAUUCCUUAAGACCAAGUUAGGAUAAGAGGUCAAAAGAAUAGAUGCUCAUGUAAAAGGAAGACAUGGAUUAAAGGACAAAACAAAGGACAUACAGGAAAGGAUAGCAAGGCAUUUGAGAAUUGAGCUAAGCCAAUUAUGCUACCAAGCAAGCUAGACAUUGCAUUUAAAAUAACAUUUCGUGGACCAUGCAUAAUAAAAGGGAUCUAAUUCAUCCUAACACAAAAUGUCAAAGAACCAUGGUUAGUAACCCAGCCAACCAUGUGGAUACAACUUUCACAAGCAUUUUACAAUACAAGAGAUCAACAUGAUGUCACAUGCAAAUUGCAAAUUCUCACUCUAGUAAGCUGUAAGCAUCCAAGAUGAAGAAGAGUAAUCCAUGAGAAGAAGUAACUUUGGUGGAAUUGACUUCUUAUCUCUGGUUCCUAACUACUCAGUCAACUCUGCCUUCCAUCAUUCUAAGAGCCUCUCUAGAUCAUAAUGAAGGCAAAACAUUGCAAGAAUUCUCCCAAAGACAUCUAUUUGAUUGAUUGAGUUCCAUUUCCUUGAUCUCUACAACUUGAAUGUCUAAACCAACAAAUUUAAAAUUGGCUGAGUUCAGUCAAAGGACAAUUUAUUUGGUCCACAUUGCAGGGAAGAGAAUUUCUGGAAGACAUCCGUCAUGAUGAUGCUACACUGAUAUCUAAAAUCUGCUUAAUAGUGGUGGUCUUCCCAUCUUCUAACGCGUCAAUUUCGAUUAUAUACCCUGAUGUAUAAGAAUCUGCACAAUAAUGCUGGUCUUCCCAUCAUUCAACGUGUCAUGUUAGACAAAGUUAACCUGUAAGCUAUUCAAGUGAUACAUCAACCUCUAUGAAAAUUCAUAA